AGGUGUCUGUUGAGAAAGGAGGUGCCCGGUGCCUAUGCCUGGCUUCCCCCCCAUCCAUCGAGGAGGAUGGGUGAGCCAUCGGUGGCAUAGGCACACCCCGGUCGGCGGAUCGAUGAAAGGUUGUGGGUUUUUCGACGGUCGGAACCUUUCAUCGAUCCGCCGGCCACGGCCUGUGGGAAAGUAGUGCUCUGUUCGAUCUUUCUCGAGAGGAGAGGGACGGUUGAACUCGGAUUUUGGUCUUUCCAACGUACUUCACAGAAACGUGAGCGUGGCUUCGGCUGUGGGAUCGGAGUAAUGAGGAUACCGCGGUCGGGUCAAGGUGUGGGUUUUUUAACCUCUCGUUGGAGAUCGGCACUGUCACUAAUUUCUCAUUUGGCCGUUGGUGGAGAUUAUUCAAUCAAUGAAUAAGCUCCAUCAUGUCCCGUCGGAAAAAUUUUUCAAAUCCGUCGCAAAUUUUUUCAAAUGUUUUCACUUGGUCUGGUGGGCUUGUAUUGCUUUGGUUGCUCUCCUUCUUGGGAGGAUAGGGACGGUUCAUCUCGGAUUUUUGGUCUUUCCAACGUACUUCACAGAAACGUGAGCAUGGCUUCGGCUGUGGGAUCGGAGUAAUGAGGAUACCGCGGUCGGGUCAGGGUCUGGGUUUUUUAACCUCUCGUUGGAGAUCGGCCCUGUCCACUACUUUCUCACUUGGCCGUUGUCAUGUCCCGUCGCAAAGUUUUUSAAAUGUUUUCACUUGGUCAAGUGGGCUCGUAGUGCUCUGUUCGAUCUUUCUCGAGAGGAGAGGGACGGUUGAACUCGGAUUUUGGUCUUUCCAACGUACUUCACAGAAACGUGAGCAUGGCUUCGGCUGUGGGAUCGGAGUAAUGAGGAUACCGCGGUCGGGUCAGGGUCAGGGUUUUUUAACCUCUCGUUGGAGAUCGGCCCUGUCCACUACUUUCUCACUUGGCCGUUGUCAUGUCCCGUCGCAAAGUUUUUCAAAUGUUUUCAGAUUAUUCAUUAUUUUCCACAUCACAACAUCCCGAAAAAAAUGCGGAAGAACUAGCAUGCUUCGGCUUGUGCUAACUUGAUGCAUCAAAAGGUUUGUUGCGGUGGGUUGGGGGUAAUGGAGAAUCAUUUGGUUUUGAAACAAACAAGAAAAAAAAAAAUGGUUUCCUUGUCCCUUGAAGGUUUUUGUCCCUCGGAUUGUGUGUUUCUUCGCGUGAAGCGGUGCUGGUGUGGUCUUGCUUGAUGUUUCCGCAUGCUCAGCGGUUCUAGUAACCGUUGGGUUGUGGUUCGUUUGGUUGGGUCAUCAUCAAGUGUACGCAACUCACGUGUGAGUGGUGGUUGGAUUGCAUGGGUCUGCAAGCUCCUUGCUCAGCGCAACGAAUUGCAAGCUCUCUAUCCUUUUCAUAGUCCUUCUCCAAGCAUGGUCAUUUGCCUUGUGGGUAAGAUCGGUAUCCUGUGCGUUUUGCCAAUUGAAUGGAACUCGAUAGUUUUCAUUUCUCUAUUCGGCCGGUUCCCUUAGGGGUGUUGGGUGGACGAUAGGCCGACCUCGUGUUCCAGGUACAUCUCGCAUUUUUGCGUGGUUACCAUGGCCCAUGGGGUUGUGCUUGUUCUCUUGGAUGCGGAUCGUUAGUUGUGGGCGAGGGGUUACGACCUCCAUUCGUCCAAUCUAAUAUGCAUUUGUCAAUCGACACGAACGACUGCUGCACUUGUCUUGGCUUUUACGGUUGAAUGGCCGUACAAUGUCCAUGCGAGUGUCGGUGUCGUGAAGGAAUGC
This 1756-nucleotide unclassified non-coding RNA is filed under the name Acer cappadocicum subsp. divergens. RNAcentral's name for it is "external transcribed spacer". Lineage: Eukaryota; Viridiplantae; Streptophyta; Magnoliopsida; Sapindales; Sapindaceae. The record is from RNAcentral.